AACGAACGCUGGCGGCAUGCCUAACACAUGCAAGUCGAACGAAGCCUUCGGGCUUAGUGGCGCACGGGUGCGUAACGCGUGGGAAUCUGCCCUUCGGUUCGGAACAACAGUUAGAAAUGACUGCUAAUACCGGAUGAUGACGUAAGUCCAAAGAUUUAUCGCCGAAGGAUGAGCCCGCGUAGGAUUAGCUAGUUGGUAAGGUAAAAGCUUACCAAGGCGACGAUCCUUAGCUGGUCUGAGAGGAUGAUCAGCCACACUGGGACUGAGACACGGCCCAGACUCCUACGGGAGGCAGCAGUGGGGAAUAUUGGACAAUGGGCGAAAGCCUGAUCCAGCAAUGCCGCGUGAGUGAUGAAGGCCUUAGGGUUGUAAAGGACUCUUUUACCCAGGGAUGAUAACGACAGUACCUGAGAAUAAGCUCCGGCUAACUCCGUGCCAGCAGCCGC
This 446-nucleotide ribosomal RNA is filed under the name uncultured bacterium. RNAcentral describes it as "bacterial SSU rRNA". It matches the Rfam family "Bacterial small subunit ribosomal RNA", at positions 29 to 518 of the family's 1533-position model. The record is from RNAcentral.